GAGGGAGAGCCAAGUGACCAGGAAAAAAGACGCUUCUCAUUCAUUCACUUGCUCCUCCCACCAACACCUUCUGCCUGCCCCUGCUGAAGGCAUGAAGGACAAGAAGACCAGGUUUCUACCACUAGAAAGGCUGCUCUACAGUCCCAAGAGUCCUUCAUCCUGUCCCAUACCAGGGUAGCAUCUGUGCUCUGAGGUACAGCUUUGCACACACUCAUCCUACUGAAGCCACUUCAAGGCUUUCACAUAUAUGUCACUGAGUUAAGGUCUCGUUCUGGGAUCUGACACCUGGGAUUCUGCCCAGUGCCCUUCUUAUCUGUCCUCACUGCUCACAGAUGCUCACUAGAGGGCGCUUUGCACCUGCUGGCCUGCCUGCUACUCGGUCACCUGGCGACUUCAUCUUCCCGCCUUUUCCUGGUGGUGGAAAGAGACAAGUUUGGAAAAGUAUAAGCCUGCCUUCCUCUCCCGGCUUUGCCACCUGAGCAGCUAUUUCAUCUCACUCUGCCUGUUUCCCCUUCUGCAAAAUAAGAAUGAUAAGCCUACUUAUCUCAUAGUGGUGGGUGGGGAUUUGAAGGAACAGUCUCUGAAUAUGUGUAUUUAGCACCUAAACAGGCACGAAGAACUCAUCAUGAAUAGAAGCUGGCAUCAUGAACACUGUCAUGUCAGUAGUCCCUUUCUUCCUUUGACAAAUGAGCUUGGAGCAUUCUCAGUGUGGGGAUUCAGGAAGAGAAAAUCUUUUCUUUUUCAUUUGAGACAGGGUCUUGCUGUGUAGUCUACACUGUCCUUGAGCUUGCUGCGUAGCUCAGCCUGGCUCUGAACUAGUGACCCUGCUACUGCAGCCUCCCAAGUGCUGGGACUGCAGGUGUGUACCACCACACUGGCUGAGAAAGCCAUUUUUUGACAUCUGGGGAGCUAGGACUUUUCCGACAUAUGCCUGUUAAGAACGUCUGUGCUGUGUCACAAAGUAGAAGGGUUCCCUGGAAUGAGACAUCAGUGCCAACUGGACUCCUCAGACUUUCCUGAGGAGGUGGCAAUGAACUGGAUAGUCCACUUUCCCUUGAGCAUCUGGGACUUCACAAUGCUGCUAUGACAACCACAGUACCUAUGAUAAAAACAAUGUGCAACAGGCUUGUAAUUACAUCACCACAUUUAAAUGUUGAUGCUCUGAGAAACCCUCUAUGAAAUGGCACAGGGUUACUAUGCAAUUCCCCUUUUGCAGAAGAAUACACUAAGUCUAGAAGAAUUGACAGUUUGGGUAAUGACCACCCUGCCAUCUGAUGACAAAUGUGAGGUUCAAACCCAGUGGGCCUGGAUCCCACAUCUGUGCUCUGAAGUCUGGACACAGAUUCCCUGGUGUUUGUUGCCAGUACAAUUCCUGCUUAAGACUCAAGGACUUCUGAGGGAAGAACUCCAUGGACCCCGUGUCUUCAAUGACCCAAAGCAACCCAGCUACCAUUGGUCACCUGGACAGUUUGAUGGUCACCUUCCCGUGAAAGGGUUGGCUCAGGAAGCCAUCCAGCAGGACUGCCCACUGCACACCAAGGGCCAGCGUGAAGAGGUUGAAGGCCACACUGCUCCAGCCAUGUCUCCGCAAGUAUGAAGUGAGGAAGCCCAAGCCAAGGGCCGCCAUGAUGGCCCAGCUCUGCUAACAGCAGGAAAGCUCUUAUUUCUGAAACUCUCCAGAGUCCCAGAAAGCUCCUUGAUUAACAUGGAUCCUCAAAGUCACGUCCAUUGAAGAAUACACACACCCAGGCCUGGCACAUAGCACUUGGGUGAGUCUUGCUAUUUCCAAAUCCCCAGGACAGCACAGGGAUGUAGGAGGCCCCUGAGGAACAAUCAGGCACACCUCCCUCCCAUGAGAUCUGAUGACUUGGGGAGUGGGUGAGAAGUGGGUAUUAGGGAGGAUUUGCUCUUUGCACCUUCUCCCUGGCAUGGGGGUGGUGGUGGUGAGGUCAGGGAAUGUUCCAUCUCCUGCUUGCAUCCUCUUGGCAGUGAGGCGGGUAGGGAACAUUUUGCAGAAGGGUUCUUCUUAGGAUUGUUCAAAUGCCCUCAGGAGCCAAGCAGGAAAUGUGGGUAUGAAGGUGCAGUGUACAUUUGGGAGUGGUGAGGUUUGUGGCCAACUGGAAACUACACAACCCAGUUGAGAUAUUUAUAUUCGACCUUUUGUGAGACACUCCUGUUAAACAAAACUCAUCUGCCAUUUUGUAGCAAUGCUACACGCAGAGAGUCCAGACAUAUUGAAGAGUCCAUGGGUAGGGAGAGUCCUCCAUUUUCUUCCCAUUUUACCAAAGAGGACCAGAGAGAGCCCAUGCCUUCCCAAGCCCAUAGAGCACACCUGCAGUGCACCUCAGCUUUAAACUCCUGGUCCAGUGUCCUUCUACCAGGCCAGGCUAUCUCUAGAUUUUUUUUUUUUUUUGAGUUUUUGUUGUUGUCGUUGUUUGUUUGAGAAAGGUCUUGUUAUGUAGCCCAGGCUGGUCUCAAACUUGUGGCAAUUCUCCUGCUUCAGCUUCCUGGAUGCUGGCAUUACAAGCAUGCACUACCAGCCUACCUCAUUGUGGUAAAGGACCUUAGCAAAGUCUCUUGCUCUCUCUGGGCCUCAGUUUCCUUCUCUGGAACCCAUAAGAGUUGAGCUUGAUAUUCUCUGGACCCUUAGAGCUCUGGAAUAUUUUGAGGAAGGGGAAGGGGAGGGUGAGAAGAGAAGAGAAGAGUGAUGAGGGCAGAGGUGGCUCUGAAGGUUAAAAAGUCAGAGGGUGGUGGUGAGGGUAGGGGGGAUUUCUGUCAGCCCCGCUGCUGCCCUGAUAUUGGGCUCAUGGUCUUCAUCCAAUGCCCCACGUCAUCUCUGAGGCAGGAACCAUACCCCAGCCAUGAAGAUGAAAUUAGGGCAGCAGUUUCCAGGAGUGGUCGACUGAACCCAUGGACCCCAACCGUUCACCAUUCCUCCUGGCUCAGAUUUGCAGAAAGAAUACAGACUUCCCAGCUCCUAAAUGAGAAGAAGGCAGAGGAGAAUGGGCAAUGGAGUGCAGAAAAGAGCAAGAGACACCUCCCAAAGGAGAAUGAUUUGCAGCUAAAGAGAAACGUGGGAGGGGAAGCAGAGAAGCAGAAGAUUAUUAAGAUCAACUUGGAACAGGGGAUUUGGGGAACACAGGAGAGAAGGACCCUCACUCCGCAUGGACAAAUUCAGGCAGGCUUCACAGAAGAGGUGGUGCCCAGGUGAAGAAGAAAGAAGAAGAAAGAAGAAGAAAGAAGAAGAAGAAGGAGAAGAAGAAGGAG
This is a non-coding RNA of Heterocephalus glaber (naked mole-rat), 3267 nucleotides long. The record is from RefSeq and is a predicted model, not a curated record. Lineage: Eukaryota; Metazoa; Chordata; Mammalia; Rodentia; Bathyergidae.